CAGUAGCCGCGGUAAAACAGAGGGUGCGAGCGUUAAUCGGAUUUACUGGGCGUAAAGCGUGCGUAGGCGGCUUCUUAAGUCGGAUGUGAAAUCCCUGAGCUUAACUUAGGAAUUGCAUUCGAUACUGGGAAGCUAGAGUAUGGGAGAGGAUGGUAGAAUUCCAGGUGUAGCGGUGAAAUGCGUAGAGAUCUGGAGGAAUACCGAUGGCGAAGGCAGCCAUCUGGCCUAAUACUGACGCUGAGGUACGAAAGCAUGGGGAGCAAACAGGAUUAGAUACCCCUGUAGUCCCUGUCUCUUAUAA
This 301-nucleotide ribosomal RNA is filed under the name uncultured bacterium. RNAcentral's name for it is "partial 16S ribosomal RNA". It matches the Rfam family "Bacterial small subunit ribosomal RNA", at positions 509 to 809 of the family's 1533-position model. The record is from RNAcentral.